GAUGAACGCUGGCGGCGUGCCUAAUACAUGCAAGUCGAGCGAACGGACGAGAAGCUUGCUUCUCUGAUGUUAGCGGCGGACGGGUGAGUAACACGUGGAUAACCUACCUAUAAGACUGGGAUAACUUCGGGAAACCGGAGCUAAUACCGGAUGAUAUUUUGAACCGCAUGGUUCAAUAGUGAAAGACGGUCUUGCUGUCACUUAUAGCUGGAUCCGCGCUGCAUUAGCUAGUUGGUAAGGUAACGGCUUACCAAGGCAACGAUGCAUAGCCGACGUGAGAGAGGGAUCGGCGACACUGGAGGGGGGACACGGUCCAGACUCCUACGGGAGGCAGCAGUAGGGAAUCUUCCGCAAUAGGCGGAAGCCUGACGGAGCAACGGCACGUGAGUGAUGAAGGUCUUCGGAUCGUAAAACUCUGUUAUUAGGGAAGAACAUAUGUGUAAGUAACUGUGCACAUCUUGACGGUACCUAAUCAGAAGGCAACGGCUAACUACGUG
RNAcentral lists this ribosomal RNA (497 nucleotides) under uncultured bacterium. RNAcentral describes it as "partial 16S ribosomal RNA". It matches the Rfam family "Bacterial small subunit ribosomal RNA", at positions 28 to 507 of the family's 1533-position model. The record is from RNAcentral.